Molecule: long non-coding RNA, 1650 nt
Organism: Prinia subflava (tawny-flanked prinia)
Lineage: Eukaryota; Metazoa; Chordata; Aves; Passeriformes; Cisticolidae
Exons: 7
Source: RefSeq, a predicted model, not a curated record
UGUCUGGAAGAGGCAGGUAGGACAGCGUGUGCCGCCUACAAACAUCACUUUGCUUGACAUCUGACACAGCCCGUGACACCUGCACGCAGGCAGCUGAGCACCUUGAGUAACCUGUGACGAGAACAAGGCGGGCACCUGAGUCCUGUUAGGCGAUCACAAGGCAAAGUGAUUUCUGUCGGCUUUGUACUUCAUUCCUUCUGUCGAUUUGCAUCAGAAGGCAGCUCAGCAAAUGCUCAGCACUUGGCAACCCUGAGACAAAGAGGGUUUUUUCUGACCAAACUCAGCUACCUGAUUCAGGCCAUUCUUCAGAUGCACCGUUUGAUUCAACAUGUCAAAUGUGGUUUACCUUUAAGCCUCUGCAUUCUUCAUGGAAGGAAUCAAUGUAUAGGAUCUUCUGGCUCAUAUCACUCAGGACUGGAUCCCGACUGGAGGCCCGUGAUGCUAAUUUUGUGAAGAUCUAUUUAUUUAUUGGCCAUACCCCUCCUGCAUAGCAUUGCCUGGGAUUCCCUGAUACAGAAAGCAGCCCCAUGUAAGAGCACAGGAUCUACAUGGUCCAUGGAAAACAUCCUGCCUGCUGACAAGAGAGUGAAAGUAACGUAGGUGCUGCAUUAGCUUAUUGAAAAGGCUGGACAUCAUUGGUGAGGGAUGAAAGAGAAGCAGGACACGUCAUUUGAUAUCAAAAGAGCAAUGCUGGAGCCUUGAUCUACAGGAACAGAAACAAGACUUGCCUGGCACCGAGGGAUUAGCCCUCCAAGAAACCAUCUAAACUGACCAACACCCUGCAAUUCACUGGGAGGAAGGAAGAGGAUUCUAGGGCAUAGAGAUUUUGAGUCAGUGGUCUGGAUUUGCUCAUCAUCUUCCUGGAAAGGAGAAUUUUAAGAACGAGAACAGAAAAAAAGCCUGGUAAAAGUUGUAGCUGGCUCUGCCUGUCUGUGCUAUGACAGCCAACAAUAUCACCUGCUGAUGAUUUACAGAUUCCUGGGAGAUGUGUUGUUGAGUCUCAAAGAACUGGAACAAGAACAACUCGCUUAAAUUGCUUCCCGUGAAACAGCACAAUGUAUCCACCCGCCUCAUGCUCUCCUAAUUUAGGACACAUGUAGUGUGUAAUGAUGAACUGGCCAACUGAUUAUGUUGCUGUAAAUCUCAUUCCCCACCUUACAAAACACCCCUGAUUGACCCCUUUUUCAUGAUAGCUCAGAGCAACAUUUACAGUCCACUUCUUGAGAGGGAGAAAAAUUGCACCAGCUACUUGCAAAAGCACUUCUCCACAGAGAAAAAUGCAACAUUUUGUUGUUUUUUUUCCAUUGGGCAGCCUUUUCAAGUUCUGUGACCCACUUUUGCUUCCCUUUAAAUCGUGACUAGUAUUUAUUUAUCCCUCUUUGAACACAAUAACUUAAUUAGGAAACUAAUCAGCGGUUGAACUGAUCUUUCAACUCACCCCUAUCACUGAAAGAAAUUUAUGAAUGCAUAAUACAAGAAAGAUCCUAUUAUCUAAAAAGCUUUCUACUAAAAGCAUUUGGUGUCUAAAAAGUAAGACUUGAAAUUCUGCACUAAAUUUAUAACGUAAAUAUAUUAACACUAUUUAUAGACUCUGAAAUGUACCCCAGCUGAAUCUAACAAGUUUGUCUGUAUUAAAAUAAAAUUGUUACA